AGUUCGCUUCAAUGUCUUACAAAAGAUGGGGAAACUGUUCUUCAUCUUGCUGUUAGAUUCAACAGAUAUAAUGUGAUCAAACGUUUGGCACAGGUUCCUGAUUUCUCUCAUCUUCUUCACCAGCAAGACCAGGAUGGUAACAACAAACUGCAUCUUGCAUUCUCCAGAGGAGAUCAUCAGCACGCGAAGUACAUCUUGAACUCAACAGUAGACAUUGAUUGUCGGAAUGAUAAAGGACAAAAAGCUUUGGACAUCCUUGAACUAGCCGGAAUAGAAACAAAGAACAAGCAACUCAAACAAAUGUCAAGCACCGCAAGUGAUGAUCGGACCAUGGAAUUGUCAUCUGUUUUGCCAAAGCCUGAAAAUCUCAAUUCUGAAGAAGCUCAGAAAGUUGAAAACUCUAAUUCUGAAGUUCAAACACUUGAAGACCCCAAUCCCGAAGAAGUUCAG
Molecule: unclassified non-coding RNA, 450 nt
Filed under: Hevea brasiliensis (rubber tree)
Lineage: Eukaryota; Viridiplantae; Streptophyta; Magnoliopsida; Malpighiales; Euphorbiaceae
Source: RNAcentral